RNAcentral lists this ribosomal RNA (399 nucleotides) under uncultured bacterium. RNAcentral describes it as "bacterial SSU rRNA". It matches the Rfam family "Bacterial small subunit ribosomal RNA", at positions 356 to 773 of the family's 1533-position model. The record is from RNAcentral.
GGGGAAUAUUGCACAAUGGGCGAAAGCCUGAUGCAGCGACGCCGCGUGAGGGAAGAAGGUUUUCGGAUUGUAAACCUCUGUCCUUGGUGAAGAUAAUGACGGUAACCAAGGAGGAAGCCACGGCUAACUACGUGCCAGCAGCCGCGGUAAUACGUAGGUGGCAAGCGUUGUCCGGAAUUACUGGGUGUAAAGGGAGCGUAGGCGGGAAUGCAAGUUAAAUGUUAAAUCUAUGGGCUCAACCCAUAUCCGCGUUUAAAACUGCAGUUCUUGAGUGAAGUAGAGGUAGGCGGAAUUCCUAGUGUAGCGGUGAAAUGCGUAAAUAUUAGGAGGAACACCAGUGGCGAAGGCGGCCUACUGGGCUUUAACUGACGCUGAGGCUCGAAAGCGUGGGUAGCAAAC